CAUUGUUCUGCAAUACUCUGCCACCUGGUGUUUCAGGUUUAGGGUCAUCGUCAAAACGUCGACGAGAUUCAUGCGAAUGACUUGUUCUGGCUUGCAAUUUAGUCAAUUUGAAAUUAAUAUCAGCCGAAAGUUUAAGUCAGGGAAAGUUAUUUAUUUGAAUAAAUUGUUAAAGAAAUCAGGAUAGGGCUCAAAUCUUGCUGAAUCAACUACGGAUUUCUUCUGGGGCAAGGCCAUGUUGCUGAAAUCCAGAUCCGAAAGGCAUUUUUCUUUUCUUUAAGACAGAAAUCACAAGCUUCCCUAACAAACAGAUUUACUUUACAUGCAUUUAUUUAGGAUUAAAUGCUUUUAUGAAUGAAAGUUUGCAAAAGGCGCUGAGAGGUAUUUUAAAAUAAGAUGUUGACUUGCAGACCAAGCACAUUGCAUAUUCUUCAAUCCAACUAUAAUGAACAUGAUAGCACAGAUUGGCAAAAUGGCAUUCAAGUGCCUUCAAACAGUACUUACCGCUUGGAAGUGAAGAGCUGGAAACCUCAAUGCUGAUCUUAUCUUAUCAGAAAAUACUCAAAGGCAUUGUUUCUGAUUACCAAAACCAUCUUCAGGAUACUGUAAUCUUUUCACACAUGGAACAUGGAAUCCAAUUUUGCUAUUCUGAUAUGUUAUGGAUACAUCAAUCAUGGAAAAUGUUUGAUGUAAUUAACUUCUCAAACUUUAAAGAGGAAAUUACCAACUUACAGCUUGCAAUAGAAAAUGCUGUGGAAAAUGAGAAGCCUUACUCUUCACUGACAUUGAGCUAGGUCAUCUUUCUACUGAAAGCUAUGUCUAAGAGUGACUUUGUUUUACCUUGAGCAGCAUUCGACGAUCUACGAACCUCUGAACCUCUGAGAGAAGUUUUUUGCUGGCAAAAAGCACCGCCAUUUCAAAGCACUGUGAUAAAUCAAUCCUACGUUACGUUAGAUGGUUGGCUUCAGGAUUUGGAGAGAGCUUCUACAAUGAAGAUGGACUUGAUUUUCUUGUUGACCAAUUGCACGUAUUUAGCUAUGGUGUCAAGUUCCGCCCAGAUCAACAAACACUGGAAGCUUGAAAGAUUGGUCAGACGAUUCUACAGGAUCCAUUCCACUUGAGAUUGUACGAUGUGAAAGCUAGCAUGAGAGAAAUCGAGUAGUUUCCAUUUCGUCAAUCAUUUUUCAGCUUGAAGUGAUGAACACAGGCCUUGGGUACCAGGAAACUUUCCUCUAUUCUAACCUAGAUUGCAACUCUACAAGCAACUCUAUACUAACUCAACAAAACUAGUAAUUGACCAAAAAUUUCACCAAGCACAACAACUCCACCAAUUUGGAUUUUAAAAUUUAUUGGUGUCGAGCAUUCGUUCGAUAAUAGUCGUGUACAAAAGAGAAAUGGGCUUAUUCACGUCACAACAAUAAGUACUUAAAACUUUUUGUUAUU
RNAcentral lists this long non-coding RNA (1440 nucleotides) under Daphnia magna. RNAcentral's name for it is "uncharacterized LOC116920435, transcript variant X10". Lineage: Eukaryota; Metazoa; Arthropoda; Branchiopoda; Diplostraca; Daphniidae. The record is from RNAcentral.